Molecule: long non-coding RNA, 1122 nt
Organism: Amphiprion ocellaris (clown anemonefish)
Lineage: Eukaryota; Metazoa; Chordata; Actinopteri; Pomacentridae
Source: Ensembl
UUCAGCGUCACUUUUAUUAAUUCCAACAGGUUAAACAUCCAACACAUGAAGUUCUACAUGUUUUACAAAAUAAAACAAAUGCCCAUGAACCAACACAAUUUAAGUUACAGAAUGAAGUGUACAUGUUUUGUUGCUUUGCCACAGCAGCACAAUAAUUUCCAAAAUUCACUUUACUUCACAAUGACUUAAAUAAUACAUCGGAUUAAUACUACAAAAUUGUAGCAAAAAAUAAUUCCCUUUUACUCACACACACCUACCUUCUCCUACUGGUUAAUAGAUGAAACUAGAAAUUAGACUGCUCUGUCAGGCACUACACCAGGGCCUUUAUUUAUAGAAGUCUAUUUAAGAGGUCAGCAUGAAAGCAGGAACAAGAAAUCUGAUGGAGCUGGGAUGCAGCUCAUUCUGUGCCUCAAACUUUGUAACAUCUUUCCUUCCUUUCACUACAGUUUGAGAUAACCUGGAUCCUCAAGAUUUAUGAAGGCAACUUUGAUGUUAUAUGAAAUUAUGCUUUACAUCGUCCACCUACAGAACAAUUACUUUAUGUCUGACCACUUGUUUUAUAUUCACAGGAAUGCUUCUAUCAGAAAAAUAAAAAUCAUGUUAGUGAUGGCAUCUUUAAGCUGCAGUUCACAUUUUAGCACAAAAACUGAACACCAACAGCUAAACUCUCCCUUUGGCACGCUCACUGUAUGAGAAUGUCUCUUCUAUUUGCCUUGGCAAGCUUCACACCGCUGUCAAACAGCGAAGAAACAAGGUGGUAAAAAUGGCUUACACAUGUCUCAUUUGCAUUUAUUUUCUUCAUCAUUAAACUGCCUGAUUGUUUCCAUUAAUUGCAUUAUUUCAAAUGAUUAAUCCUGCAUCAUACAAGUGCAGAAUCAAAGGUGGUGUCUUCAAGUAGCUUAAAUGGUCUGAAUAAAAGGCCAAAAAGAUUAACACAUCACACAUGCGGCAAUCACAUCAACACUAUUAUUCAUUUUUUGUCGAUCCACUAAUCCUCUGCACGUGAUGAGUCUGUGGUAUUUGACCUUGAUGAGACUGCAGGCUCUCUGCUGAGUGUCACUCUCAGCCAGUGCAAGUAAACAACCUUCUCUCAGCCUCCACUGCAACUGAUCACAGCUGAGU